This 496-nucleotide ribosomal RNA is filed under the name Mimetus banksi. RNAcentral describes it as "SSU rRNA". It matches the Rfam family "Eukaryotic small subunit ribosomal RNA", at positions 85 to 573 of the family's 1831-position model. Lineage: Eukaryota; Metazoa; Arthropoda; Arachnida; Araneae; Mimetidae. The record is from RNAcentral. RNAcentral also lists the same sequence under 1 other name.
AACCGCGAAUGGCUCAUUAAAUCAGUUAUGGUUCCUUGGAUCGUACCCCACUACUUGGAUAACUGUGGCAAUUCUAGAGCUAAUACAUGCAGCAGAGCUCCGACCUUCGGGGACGAGCGCUUUUAUUAGACCAAGACCAAUCGGGCCUCGUGUCCGUGAAACGUGGUGACUCUGUAUAACUUUGGGCUGAUCGCACGGGCUUGUCCCGGCGACGUAUCCUUCAAGUGUCUGCCUUAUCAACUGUCGAUGGUAGGUUAUGCGCCUACCAUGGUCGUAACGGGUAACGGGGAAUCAGGGUUCGAUUCCGGAGAGGGCGCCUGAGAGACGGCGACCACAUCCAAGGAAGGCAGCAGGCGCGCAAAUUACCCACUCCCGGAACGGGGAGGUAGUGACGAAAAAUAACAAUACGGGACUCUUUUGAGACCCCGUAAUUGGAAUGAGUACACUCUAAAUCCUUUAACGAGGACCCACUAGAGGAAAAGUCAGGUGCCAGCAG